AUGCCCCGACCUCUUCCGCAGCUCCCAAGCCCCUCCUCGUCCCUCCUAGUCCACCGGAGCCCUCGGCCCCCUCCUCAUUUUGCCAGAGUUCGCCUCGGCCGCCGUGGUUCCUCCUUGGUUUCGGCGAGCUCGAGCGUCCUCUCCUCCUCUGGUGUUGUCCAAGAGCUCCCCCACCUCCUCACGGUUCGCCCCACCCCCUUUUCCCCUCGCCGGAGUGCCCGCAGUGCCGUCAACCUCCGCCUCCCGAAGCUUCCUGUCCUCCUCAUGGCGCCGCCCCUCCCCUCCGUUCCACCCCUUCCCGGUGCCCCAUUUGCCUCUGGAUGGGUUCUCCCGGCCUCCCCGAAUCUUCCGGUGGCCUCUCCUAGGACAAUGGUGGCCGGAGCCGGCCGGACCACCACCGCCCCGCCCGCCUCUGUUGCUUCCUGCCGUCGCGCCUCGCCACCCCUACACUCCUCCCCGGCGCUCCCUAUGCCCUGGGAUGGAGGUGGAGCAUUCCCCCGAACCCGCCGGAAGCCUCCGCCAGGCAGGAGCUGGCCGGAGUCAGCCGCCCCGUCGCCGGCUUCGCCCUGCUCCCGCUCCUCUGUUCUGCUGCUGCGUGGGCACGCGAGGAAGAAGACAGGAGCGAGGGAGGAGAGAGAUGGAUAA
RNAcentral lists this ribosomal RNA (645 nucleotides) under Triticum aestivum (bread wheat). RNAcentral describes it as "partial small subunit ribosomal RNA". The record is from RNAcentral. Lineage: Eukaryota; Viridiplantae; Streptophyta; Magnoliopsida; Poales; Poaceae.